This is a long non-coding RNA of Drosophila montana, 642 nucleotides long. RefSeq lists it as uncharacterized. NCBI's taxonomy places the organism in Eukaryota, Metazoa, Arthropoda, Insecta, Diptera, Drosophilidae. The transcript is spliced from 2 exons. The record is from RefSeq and is a predicted model, not a curated record.
AGUUCGAUUUGACAGCAACUAGAAACUAACGCGUAUUAUGGGUAUUAUUUGAGUUUUUCUUAUUUUUUCUCGCGCUGACAGGCACCGCCAUAAAUUGUCAAUCAAAAUCGUAAUUCUUUAUAAUUUCGGGCCAUACCCCAAACAUAAGUCAAAGCCCAGGGCAACCCAAUCAACGUCUGUCUCCUUCUACAACUUUGACGUUUGCAUUGUCGUCUUUUCAAUUCGGAGCCGGAGCCAGAGCCGAGCUCUGCAGCCAAUUUGUCGGGAUUUUGGGUACCAGAUAAGCGGCUUAGUUGGGUUAUAAAUGGAAAUUGCAGCCAGGGCGCGUUCCUGUUUAUAUAAGAUGAUGAUGAUAAUGACGAUGAUGAUGGCGAUGCCGACCAUCGACCGUCGUCUUGAUGACGUUGCUUGCAUGCGAUUUGAAAAAUCAGAUUAAUAACUUCGAUUGCACUCGGUUGUAAAGAGUAAAGAGUGGGGAGAAAGAGCAAAUGAGCACCGAGUGAAAGAGCGAAAGAGGAAUCAAGUGUCGACAAAAGUGAAGCAAGGCUCAAGUAUUUUCUCUACUCUACCUGAUAAUUGGCUCACGUUCCAGAUAGAGUAUCAAGUGGAUUUCGUCUACUAUAAAGAAGAGGAAAAGCAGCA